Molecule: non-coding RNA, 95 nt
Organism: Marasmius sp. AFHP31
Lineage: Eukaryota; Fungi; Basidiomycota; Agaricomycetes; Agaricales; Marasmiaceae
Source: the annotation of a GenBank genome assembly
UCCGAUGUGGUGUAGUGGCUAACAUUGCUGUCUUUCAUAAAGUUCCCCAUUUCUCUGAAUCACAGCAGCCCGGGGUUCGAUUCCCCGCAUCGGAA